UACGUAGGGUGCAAGCGUUAAUCGGAAUUACUGGGCGUAAAGCGCGCGUAGGUGGUUUGUUAAGUUGGAUGUGAAAUCCCCGGGCUCAACCUGGGAACUGCCAUCCAAAACCGGCAAGCUAGAGUAUGGUAGAGGGUGGUGGAAUUUCCUGUGUAGCGGUGAAAUGCGUAGAUAUAGGAAGGAACACCAGUGGCGAAGGCGACCACCUGGACUGAUACUGACACUGAGGUGCGAAAGCGUGGGGAGCAAACA
This 252-nucleotide ribosomal RNA is filed under the name uncultured bacterium. RNAcentral describes it as "partial 16S ribosomal RNA". It matches the Rfam family "Bacterial small subunit ribosomal RNA", at positions 524 to 774 of the family's 1533-position model. The record is from RNAcentral.